GUAGUUUGAUCCUGGCUCAGAACGAACGCUGGCGGCAGGCCUAACACAUGCAAGUCGAGCGCACCGCAAGGUGAGCGGCGGACGGGUGAGUAACGCGUGGGAACGUACCCUUUGCUUCGGAAUAGCCUCGGGAAACUGAGAGUAAUACCGGAUACGCCCUUAUCGGGGAAAGAUUUAUCGGCGAAGGAUCGGCCCGCGUUGGAUUAGGUAGUUGGUGGGGUAAUGGCCUACCAAGCCGACGAUCCAUAGCUGGUUUGAGAGGAUGAUCAGCCACACUGGGACUGAGACACGGCCCAGACUCCCACGGGAGGCAGCAGUGGGGAAUCUUAGACAAUGGGGGCAACCCUGAUCUAGCCAUGCCGCGUGAGUGAUGAAGGCCUUAGGGUUGUAAAGCUCUUUCAGCUGGGAAGAUAAUGACGGUACCAGCAGAAGAAGCCCCGGCUAACUCCGUG
RNAcentral lists this ribosomal RNA (452 nucleotides) under uncultured Paracoccaceae bacterium. RNAcentral describes it as "bacterial SSU rRNA". It matches the Rfam family "Bacterial small subunit ribosomal RNA", at positions 9 to 507 of the family's 1533-position model. The record is from RNAcentral. Lineage: Bacteria; Pseudomonadati; Pseudomonadota; Alphaproteobacteria; Rhodobacterales; Paracoccaceae.